AAGAACAAAGUUCACAUCAUCAUCAUCAGCGGCGACAGAGAGGGAGAGAGAAAGAGUGUGAGCACUGUGAACUGGAUUAAAAAGCACAAGCAAAAAGUGCCGCUCAAAUGACACCUUGUCGAGUUUGUAAGACCGUCAUCGGAACAUUGUGACAGCAGCCGAUACUUUACGAGUGGGAUGGAGGUCCUGAGCGGGCCCUGGGCCGACCUGGCUCUGUUCCUGAGACAGACAGUCACACGGACAGACAGGGAGACGGACAACUUCCUACAACUGUGCCUGUUCGGCCUAUUUGUGUCUGUUUGCAUACUCUUGUUGCAACUCGUGGUCUAUCUCCAUUGGAAGCUCAACCAGGUGGAAGCUGAUCUGACGGGGUUUUCACACGACACGAGCGCCAUCUUCAGGCUGGUCCACCGCAAUGUACAGCAGGAGAAGAAGCAUCGGCGCGCAUGCGUACACCAGACAACCUUGGACUCUUAAAAUACGGAGCAAGAAAGGAACACACCUAAAAGAGUAUUACAAUCCUUUAUUUUAACUGUUAUACAAGGACUUGAUUUGUGUGUGUUUGCAGGGGUGAUACAGGGCAAUUAAGUUGCUGGAUAGAAAGAAUCUGGACCACUCAGGAGCAAUGGGGCUGCCUGUUAACUUCCCAAAUCCUUGUUUUUUUUCUGUGUGAAUUAUUUUUAUUUUAUUUUAUUUUUUUGGGGUGAGGGGCACAAAAUAACGCUGCAGCUGGUCCGAAUAAAUGGAAUACACACACACACACGUAACAUACACACACGCAUGUGUAUUAAGGCAGCAUUGAGUGACUUUGUGACACCGCGUUGGUUUCAGGAAUUUUGGUAGCUCAAAUAUAAUAUUACCAGAAUUUGCAGCCCCACUGCUCCAUUUAUACUGCAACCUGCAACUCAGAGUGAAACAACAUGUCAAUUGUUGUGGGGUUUAAUCCCAAAAAA
This is a long non-coding RNA of Hippocampus comes (tiger tail seahorse), 953 nucleotides long. RefSeq lists it as uncharacterized. The transcript is spliced from 3 exons. NCBI's taxonomy places the organism in Eukaryota, Metazoa, Chordata, Actinopteri, Syngnathiformes, Syngnathidae. The record is from RefSeq and is a predicted model, not a curated record.